RNAcentral lists this long non-coding RNA (333 nucleotides) under Elaeis guineensis (African oil palm). Its description in RNAcentral is "long non-coding RNA (EGUI_LNC027639)". Lineage: Eukaryota; Viridiplantae; Streptophyta; Magnoliopsida; Arecales; Arecaceae. The record is from RNAcentral.
GUGCCAGAGGCAGAUGGGGUAGAGGACGUUCUUCUGGUCGAGAUCCAUCAUCUCCUCAUCCUAUCUCUGAUGACUCCGAUCCAUCUAGUCAUGAUCUUUACUAGAUCCUAGGUGUUAGUCUCUUGUUCUUUCUAGGAUCUGUAUUUUGGGGCCAUGUAAUGACAUUAGCUAGCUGACUUUUAUGUUAUGAAAUAUGUAUUGAAACAACUAUGUUUUAAUCAUCCUUUACUUAUACAUCUACUCUUUGUAAUGAUGUCAAUCAUCUUUUGGUUAUAUAUCUUCUCUUUGUUGAAACAACUUCUCUUUGUUGAUGAUUCAUAUCUAUGGUAAUCU